AACGAACGCUGGCGGCAUGCCUAACACAUGCAAGUCGAACGAGACCUUCGGGUCUAUUGGCGCAGGGGUGCGUAACGCGUGGGAACCUGCCCUUAAGUUCGGAAUCACUCCCCGAGAGGUAUCCUCAUACCGGUUAAUGUCUUCCGACCAACGAUUUAUGGCCUUUGGAUGGGCCCGCGUUAGAUUAGCUAGUUGGUAGGGUAAAAGCCUGCCUACGCGAGGAUCCAUAGCUGGUCUGAGAGGAUGAUCAGCCACAAUGGGACUGAGACACGGCCCAGACUCGGACGGAGGGCAGCAGUAGAGUAUAUUAGACACUGGGCGAAAGCCUGAUACAGCAGUGCCGCGUAUGAGAUGAAGGCCUUAGGGUUGUAAAGCUCCUUUACACGAGAUGAUAAUGACAGUAACGGGAGAAGAAGCUCCGGCUAACUACGUG
This 433-nucleotide ribosomal RNA is filed under the name uncultured bacterium. RNAcentral's name for it is "partial 16S ribosomal RNA". It matches the Rfam family "Bacterial small subunit ribosomal RNA", at positions 29 to 507 of the family's 1533-position model. The record is from RNAcentral.